This is a long non-coding RNA of Anguilla anguilla (European eel), 146 nucleotides long. RefSeq lists it as uncharacterized. NCBI's taxonomy places the organism in Eukaryota, Metazoa, Chordata, Actinopteri, Anguilliformes, Anguillidae. The transcript has 3 exons. The record is from RefSeq and is a predicted model, not a curated record.
GCAAAGGAUAAUCUGAUGGCUUACCGUGACAGUGCCCAAAAGCUGACCAGGGAAAGGCAAAAGACGGGCAACCUACAGAGGAGGCUGGAUGAGCUGAAUGAAAAGCUGUCUCAGACAUUUCAGGCACCCUCUUAUGAGAAAGGUGA